GAUGAACGCUGGCGGCGUGCCUAACACAUGCAAGUCGAACGGAACUAUUUUGGAAACUCCUUCGGGAGCGGAAUCUUUAGUUUAGUGGCGGACGGGUGAGUAACGCGUGAGCAAUCUGCCUUUAAGAGGGGGAUAACAGUCGGAAACGGCUGCUAAUACCGCAUAAAGCAUUAAAUUCGCAUGUUUUUGAUGCCAAAGGAGCAAUCCGCUUUUAGAUGAGCUCGCGUCUGAUUAGCUGGUUGGCGGGGUAACGGCCCACCAAGGCGACGAUCAGUAGCCGGACUGAGAGGUUGAACGGCCACAUUGGGACUGAGACACGGCCCAGACUCCUACGGGAGGCAGCAGUGGGGAAUAUUGCGCAAUGGGGGAAACCCUGACGCAGCAACGCCGCGUGAUUGAAGAAGGCCUUCGGGUUGUAAAGAUCUUUAAUCAGGGACGAAACAAAUGACGGUACCUGAAGAAUAAGCUC
This 469-nucleotide ribosomal RNA is filed under the name uncultured bacterium. Its description in RNAcentral is "bacterial SSU rRNA". It matches the Rfam family "Bacterial small subunit ribosomal RNA", at positions 28 to 493 of the family's 1533-position model. The record is from RNAcentral.